RNAcentral lists this unclassified non-coding RNA (384 nucleotides) under Hevea brasiliensis (rubber tree). Lineage: Eukaryota; Viridiplantae; Streptophyta; Magnoliopsida; Malpighiales; Euphorbiaceae. The record is from RNAcentral.
GUGACUAUUGGAGAGGGUGCUAUUUUGAUUGCCUGUUUUCGAUGUGGUUUUGACUAAGCCUGUUGGAGUUAGCCUAGCUGAAGGGUAUUGAGAGUUGUCGAGAGGAUGGACAGCUCAGGGGUCGUUUAGCCAGCACACUUCUAAUGACCGCCUGACUCAUGAAGGCAAGUUGUCAUUUGAGCUCUGCCCAACGACUCUUCUUCUUGUGCUGUGUUUCCUUAGUGAUUGAGCUUUUUUGGUGAUGGCCUCUGAGUUUUUCUGUGUCUGUUCUUACUCAGAAGGCUAGGUUUUAUCUUCCAAAUGGCGGAGAAGCUAGGCGACGCUACUUCCUCUCAUGCGUCCUCCCACUUCUUCUUAUUACACCUAAUUACUUUGUUGUAAUCG